UACCAGCUCUCCGAGUGGUAGGGAUGAUUAUUGGGCUUAAAGCGUCCGUAGCCGGCUUAGCAAGUUUCCUGUUAAACUCAGCGACUCAAUCGUUGGAUCGCGGGAAAUACUACUAGGCUAGGAGGCGGGAGAGGUCAACGGUACUUCUGGGGUAGGGGUGAAAUCCUAUAAUCCCGGGAGGACCACCAGUGGCGAAGGCUGUUGACUAGAACGCGCUCGACGGUGAGGGACGAAAGCUGGGGGUAGCAAACCGGAUUAGAUACCCGGGUAGUCCCAGCUGUAAACGAUGCGAGCUAGGUGUUGGGAUGGCUACGGGCCAUUUCAGUGCCGCAGGGAAGCCAUUAAGCUCGCCGCCUGGGGAGUACGGCCGCAAGGCUGAACUUAAAGGAUUGGCGGGGAGCACCACAAGGCGUGAAGCUUGCGGUUC
Molecule: ribosomal RNA, 427 nt
Filed under: uncultured archaeon
Lineage: Archaea
Description: bacterial SSU rRNA
Rfam family: Archaeal small subunit ribosomal RNA
Source: RNAcentral